This 207-nucleotide ribosomal RNA is filed under the name uncultured bacterium. Its description in RNAcentral is "partial 16S ribosomal RNA". It matches the Rfam family "Bacterial small subunit ribosomal RNA", at positions 568 to 774 of the family's 1533-position model. The record is from RNAcentral.
CGUGUAGGUGGGUCUCUAAGUCGGUGGUGAAAUCCUGCAGCUUAACUGUAGAAUUGCCCUCGAUACUGGAGAUCUUGAGUGCGGUAGAGGGAGAUGGAAUUCAUGGUGUAGCGGUGAAAUGUGUAGAUAUCAUGAAGAACACCAGUCGCGAAGGCGGUCUCCUGGUCCGCUACUGCAACUGAGGCGCGAAAGCGUGGGGAGCAAACA